GACGUAGGGCGCAAGCGUUGUCCGGAAUUAUUGGGCGUAAAGAGCUCGUAGGCGGCUUGUCGCGUCGACUGUGAAAACCCGUGGCUCAACCAUGUGGUCUGCAGUCGAUACGGGCAGGCUAGAAUUCGGUAGGGGAGACUGGAAUUCCUGGUGUAGCGGUGAAAUGCGCAGAUAUCAGGAGGAACACCGGUGGCGAAGGCGGGUCUCUGGGCCGAUAUUGACGCUGAGGAGCGAAAGCGUGGGGAGCGAACAGG
This 254-nucleotide ribosomal RNA is filed under the name uncultured bacterium. RNAcentral describes it as "partial 16S ribosomal RNA". It matches the Rfam family "Bacterial small subunit ribosomal RNA", at positions 524 to 776 of the family's 1533-position model. The record is from RNAcentral.